AGUGAACGCUGGCGGUAGGCCUAACACAUGCAAGUCGAACGGCAGCACAGUAAGAGCUUGCUCUUACGGGUGGCGAGUGGCGGACGGGUGAGGAAUACAUCGGAAUCUACUUUUUCGUGGGGGAUAACGUAGGGAAACUUACGCUAAUACCGCAUACGACCUACGGGUGAAAGCAGGGGAUCUUCGCACCUUGCGCGAUUGAAUGAGCGGAUGCUGGAUUAGUUGGUUGGCGGGUUAAUGGCCCACCAAGUCGAGGAUCCGUGGCUGGUCGGAGAGGAGGAUCAGCCACACUGGAACUGAGACACGCUCCAGAGGCCUGCGAGAGGCCGCAGUGGGGAAUAUUGGACAAUGGGCGCAAGCAUGAUCCAGCGGUACCACGUGGGUGAAGAAGGCCUUCGGGUUGUAAAGCCCUUUUGUGGGGACAAAAAAGCAGCAGCUUAAUACCACGCUGUUCUGACGGUAACCAAAGAAUAAGCACCGGCUAACUUCGUG
This 492-nucleotide ribosomal RNA is filed under the name uncultured bacterium. RNAcentral describes it as "partial 16S ribosomal RNA". It matches the Rfam family "Bacterial small subunit ribosomal RNA", at positions 29 to 507 of the family's 1533-position model. The record is from RNAcentral.